RNAcentral lists this ribosomal RNA (441 nucleotides) under Micromonospora sp. RNAcentral describes it as "bacterial SSU rRNA". It matches the Rfam family "Bacterial small subunit ribosomal RNA", at positions 148 to 604 of the family's 1533-position model. The record is from RNAcentral. Lineage: Bacteria; Bacillati; Actinomycetota; Actinomycetes; Micromonosporales; Micromonosporaceae.
CCUCGGAAACGGGGGCUAAUACCGAAUAUUACUUCUGGCCGCAUGGCUGGUGGUGGAAAGUUUUUCGGCUUGGGAUGGGCUCGCGGCCUAUCAGCUUGUUGGUGGGGUGAUGGCCUACCAAGGCGACGACGGGUAGCCGGCCUGAGAGGGCGACCGGCCACACUGGGACUGAGACACGGCCCAGACUCCUACGGGAGGCAGCAGUGGGGAAUAUUGCACAAUGGGCGGAAGCCUGAUGCAGCGACGCCGCGUGAGGGAUGACGGCCUUCGGGUUGUAAACCUCUUUCAGCAGGGACGAAGCGAGAGUGACGGUACCUGCAGAAGAAGCACCGGCCAACUACGUGCCAGCAGCCGCGGUAAGACGUAGGGUGCGAGCGUUGUCCGGAUUUAUUGGGCGUAAAGAGCUCGUAGGCGGCUUGUCGCGUCGACCGUGAAAACUUG